CCCUUUCCAGCUGCUCACCAGAGCUACCUUGGAUCAAGGCCAUCAAGCUACAGAUGGUCUUACAACUGGAACCCCAAAUGAGCUCAACUCAAAACUUCUACUGAGGACACCUGGACCGACCCACUGGCCCUUUGACUGGUCUAAAGAGUUCCCCUCUGGAGGACACUACAACUGCAGGGCCCCUUCUUCACCCCUAUCCAGCAGGAAGUAGCUAGAGCAGUCAUUGCCCAGUUCUCAACAGCAGUUGAGAGGGGAGAUUGAGAGGUGAGGCCAGCUGGACUUCCUGGGUCAAGUGGGGACUUGGAGAACUUUCCUGUCUUAUGAGAGGAUUGUAAAAUGCACCAAUCAGCGCUCUGUAAAACUCACCAAUCAGCAGGAUUCUAAAAGUAGCCAAUCAUGGGGAGGAUUGAAAAAAGCGCACUCUGAUAGGACAGAAAUGGAACAUGGGAGGGGACAAUAAGGGAAUAAAAGCUGGUCACCCCAGCCAGCAGCAGCAAACAACUUGGGUUCCUUUUACCCUGUGGAAGCUUUGUCCUUUCACUCUUCGCAAUAAACCUUGCUACCACUCCCUCUUUGGGUUCCUGCCAUCUUUAAGAGCUGUAACACUCACUGCCAAGUUCCGUGGCUCCAUUCUUGAAGUCAGCGAG
Molecule: long non-coding RNA, 647 nt
Filed under: Homo sapiens (human)
Lineage: Eukaryota; Metazoa; Chordata; Mammalia; Primates; Hominidae
Description: HSALNT0348193
Source: RNAcentral